AUAAUACUCCAUCCAUCCAAAAAUUCUUGUCUUAGAUUUGUCCAGAUACGGAUGUAUCUAACACUAAAAUGUAACUAGAUACAUCUGUAUUUGGACAAAUUUAAGACAAGAAUUUUGGGACGAAGGAAGUAUAAA
Non-coding RNA from Triticum aestivum (bread wheat), 135 nucleotides. The record is from Rfam. Lineage: Eukaryota; Viridiplantae; Streptophyta; Magnoliopsida; Poales; Poaceae.